CGGCGCUUAAGGCUGUCUGCCUUAUGCGGAGUCUCUGGCGUGGCUGUUGCAGUAAUGCGGUAAUAACGCAGUGCGGUACAGAAUGUGGUAAGGCAGAAAGAAUAAAGCCCCGUAGUUAAUUUUCAUUAAUCCACGAGGCCUACUCUAUGCCCAAGAACAUCAGAGUAGCCGCUUACCUGCCGCGAGGCAAGGAGAUACCGGCCAUG
Molecule: antisense RNA, 206 nt
Filed under: Shimwellia blattae DSM 4481 = NBRC 105725
Lineage: Bacteria; Pseudomonadati; Pseudomonadota; Gammaproteobacteria; Enterobacterales; Enterobacteriaceae
Description: Escherichia blattae DSM 4481 sok antitoxin (CssrC)
Rfam family: sok antitoxin (CssrC)
About the family: Also identified in Shigella as CssrC.
Source: Rfam by way of RNAcentral